CCUACGGGCGGCAGCAGUGAGGAAUAUUGGUCAAUGGGCUUACGCCUGAACCAGCCAAGUCGCGUGCGGGAAGACUGCCCUAUGGUUUGUAAACCUCUUUUGUCAGGGAGCAACGCCGGCUACGUGUAGCCGGACUGAGAGUACCUGAAGUAAAAGCAUCGGCUAACUACGUGCCAGCAGCCGCGGGAAUACAGAGGAUGCGAGCGUUAUCCGGAUGUAUUGGGUUUAAAGGGUGCGUAGGCGGAAUGCCAAGUCAGCGGUAAAAUCGCGGGGCUCAACCGCGCUCCGCCGUUGAAACUGGCGUUCUUGAGUGGGAGAGAAGUAUGCGGAAUGCGAGGUGAAGCGGUGAAAUGCAUAGAUAUCACGCAGAACACCGAUUGCGAAGGCAGCAUACCGGCGCCCAACUGACGCUGAAGCACGAAAGCGUGGGGAGCGAACAGGAUUAGAUACCCCAGUAGUC
RNAcentral lists this ribosomal RNA (460 nucleotides) under uncultured bacterium. Its description in RNAcentral is "partial 16S ribosomal RNA". It matches the Rfam family "Bacterial small subunit ribosomal RNA", at positions 338 to 795 of the family's 1533-position model. The record is from RNAcentral.